Non-coding RNA from Odocoileus virginianus texanus, 289 nucleotides. The record is from RefSeq and is a predicted model, not a curated record. NCBI's taxonomy places the organism in Eukaryota, Metazoa, Chordata, Mammalia, Artiodactyla, Cervidae.
AAAAAGGAGAGCGGCCCAUCUUACCUGGAGAAGACUGAAAAUCUCCCUACAAAGUUCAGAGCACUCUCUGCUCCCCACUGAUAGCUCAGCUCAGUUUGAGAGAUCAAGGACGCCGCCAUAACUGUGAUCCUUUCUCGCCCCUGGAAUGUUAUGUCCACCUUCUUCUGAAUCCAAGAUCUAAGGUUGCAACCACUGUGGGGCUGCAGGAAAGAAUAUUGAUGGCAGAGUCAUCACUAAAGCCUGAUCACUAGUCAGGCUUAAGGUCUCAGAGUAUAAAUAGACUAACUGA